AUGUCUAGCUCCGGCGUCAAUGCCAUACCCGCAACCAACCAUGAGGAGCAGAGCCUGGCGGCCCCCGCUCCGCCCCCUGCGGCCGCGAUCGCCCAGGGGAAAGGGAAGGUGCUUGUGCAACAGGUGCCUGCGCCAGUGGUUCACAGGCGCAAGCCCGGGAGACCCCAGGAGACAAGCCCGCCCCCAGCGGCCACCAGAGAGGAGCUGGAAUCCCGGGAGUCCCGGGAAGGCCCCUUGAAGGUGCUUGCGCUCCCGGCGCCAGGGGCCCCGCGUACUCACGCUGUCUCUGGCGACAAGAUGAUGAGACGCGCUCGCGCCCCCACCCGGCAUGCCAACGUUGUCUCCGACGACAAGAUGGUGAGCCGCGUUCGCGCCUCCACCCUGCAUGCAAACCGUGUCUCCGAUGACAAGAUGAACGACAUGGCGAGCCGCGCUCGCGCCCCCACACGGCGUGCAAGCGCUGUAUCCGACAACAAGAUGAUCGACAGGGACGAGAUGGCGCCGGACCAGGGGGUGCCACGCAUGCGGGGGAGCAUCGCGUCGUCAAGUGCGGUUGGUGGGGUCGAGAGUGAAGGACUGGGGAGCUUGGAAGCAGGGGAAAUGGCACCUAGAGGGGUUCAGAUCUCCAUGAUCAAUAACCACAAUUUUGAUCUGAAUGAGCUGUCGACUGAGCAUGAGUAG
This 681-nucleotide ribosomal RNA is filed under the name Triticum aestivum (bread wheat). Its description in RNAcentral is "partial small subunit ribosomal RNA". Lineage: Eukaryota; Viridiplantae; Streptophyta; Magnoliopsida; Poales; Poaceae. The record is from RNAcentral.